GAUGAACGCUAGCGGCAGGCCUAACACAUGCAAGUCGAGGGGGAGGUUACUUUCGGGUAACUGAGACCGGCGUACGGGUGCGUAACGCGUAUACAAUCUGCCUUUCACUGGGGGAUAGCCCGAAGAAAUUUGGAUUAAUACCCCAUAGUAUAGUAAUACGGCAUCGUGAUGCUAUUAAAGCUUAGGUGGUGAAAGAUGAGUAUGCGUUCUAUUAGCUAGUUGGAGAGGUAACGGCUCCCCAAGGCGAUGAUAGAUAGGGGUUCUGAGAGGGAUGUCCCCCCAACUGGUACUGAGAUACGGACCAGACUCCUACGGGAGGCAGCAGUGAGGAAUAUUGGACAAUGGUCGGAAGACUGAUCCAGCCAUGCCGCGUGCAGGAUGAAGAUCUUAUGGAUUGUAAACUGCUUUUGUAAGAGAAGAAUAAGGGCUACGCGUAGUUUGAUGACGGUACCUUACGAAUAAGCAUCGGCUAACUCCGUG
RNAcentral lists this ribosomal RNA (480 nucleotides) under uncultured bacterium. RNAcentral describes it as "partial 16S ribosomal RNA". It matches the Rfam family "Bacterial small subunit ribosomal RNA", at positions 28 to 507 of the family's 1533-position model. The record is from RNAcentral.